Molecule: ribosomal RNA, 253 nt
Filed under: uncultured bacterium
Lineage: Bacteria
Description: partial 16S ribosomal RNA
Rfam family: Bacterial small subunit ribosomal RNA
Source: RNAcentral
UACGGAGGGGGCUAGCGUUGUCCGGAAUUACUGGGCGUAAAGCGCGUGUAGGCGGAUGAGCAAGUCUGCUGUGAAAGCUCCUGGCUUAACCGGGAGUAGUCGGUGGAAACUGCUCGUCUGGAGGACGGUAGAGGUAGGUAGAAUUCCCGGUGUAGUGGUGAAAUGCGUAGAGAUCGGGAGGAAUACCUGUGGCGAAGGCGGCCUACUGGGCCGGACCUGACGCUGAGACGCGAAGGCGUGGGGAGCGAACGGG